This is a long non-coding RNA of Canis lupus familiaris (dog), 775 nucleotides long. RefSeq lists it as uncharacterized. NCBI's taxonomy places the organism in Eukaryota, Metazoa, Chordata, Mammalia, Carnivora, Canidae. The transcript is spliced from 3 exons. The record is from RefSeq and is a predicted model, not a curated record.
UGAUUUUCUCUCUAGCUAUGUGCCACUGCACUGGGUGUCUCACUUCCUGGGUGUUUACUCCCAUCCCCUGCAGAUGGGAUUAUUUGCUUGCUAAUCUCCAUGACUAUUUCCAGUCAGAGGAAUAAAGCACACAACGAUGUUACAACACAGGCGAAAUGAUCUGACACGGACGCUGACUCCAUCGUCUGCAAUCCCGAACGUGUGUCAGUUCCUUCUACCUGGCGACACCUUUAGGAAGCUGCUGCCGGAGCGUCACGCACUUGCUGCGUGAACAGGGAAGCAAACCCCGUGGCGGUGGGAGGCCCGGGCCCCCUGCAGACUGCACGGCCGACCCUCCGCUCCCGGGGUCUCAGUCAACGUUGCGGGUCCGGGGCGCGAAUCCGUCGGAGGGCCCGGGGGCCUGGCGCGGGAUCAGCCGGGGAAGCCACACCUCCGCUCCCGUGGGUGCCACCCGGAGGGGCCUCCCACCCGGGACCGCGGGGCGGCACCUCCCCCUCGGGACCUCCGGUUGCGCUCGCACGACGACGCGGCAGAUUUGUUUCUUCUGAACAGAACCAACAGUAAUGACCACCCCGGGGCACCUGGAUGGCUCACACGGUUAAGCGUCUGCCUUCAGCUCAGGUCAUGAUCACAGGGUCCUGGGAUCUAGUCCCUCAUCGGACUCCUUGCCCAGUGGGGAGUCUGCUUUUCCCUCUACCCCUCCUCCCUGCUCCCAUUCUAUCUCUCUCUUAAACAAAUAAAGUCUUUCUAAAAAACAGUGGUAGCAAUUUAAAAA